GCAAGUCGAACGAGAAAGGACGCUUCGGUGUCCGAGUAAAGUGGCGAACGGGUGAGUAACACGUGAGUAACGUACCUUCAGGUGGGGAAUAACUGUUCGAAAGGACAGCUAAUGCCGCAUGAGACCACAACUUCUUAUGGAGAAGGGGUCAAAGCUUUAUGCGCCUGAAGAUCGGCUCGCGGCCCAUUAGGUAGUUGGCGGGGUAAUGGCCCACCAAGCCAGAGAUGGGUAGCUGGUGUGAGAGCACGACC
RNAcentral lists this ribosomal RNA (251 nucleotides) under uncultured bacterium. RNAcentral describes it as "partial 16S ribosomal RNA". It matches the Rfam family "Bacterial small subunit ribosomal RNA", at positions 57 to 305 of the family's 1533-position model. The record is from RNAcentral.